CAGCCGCCGCGGGAAAACGGAGGGUGCAAGCGUUAAUCGGAAUUACUGGGCGUAAAGCGCACGCAGGCGGUCUGACAAGUCAGAUGUGAAAUCCCCGGGCUUAACCUGGGAACUGCAUUUGAAACUGUUAGGCUGGAGUCUUGUAGAGGGGGGUGGAAUUCCAGGUGUAGCGGUGAAAUGCGUAGAGAUCUGGAGGAAUACCGGUGGCGAAGGCGGCCCCCUGGACAAAGACUGACGCUCAGGUGCGAAAGCGUGGGGAGCAAACAGGAUUAGAUACCCCUGUAGUCCCUGUCUCUUAUAC
This 301-nucleotide ribosomal RNA is filed under the name uncultured bacterium. RNAcentral's name for it is "partial 16S ribosomal RNA". It matches the Rfam family "Bacterial small subunit ribosomal RNA", at positions 509 to 807 of the family's 1533-position model. The record is from RNAcentral.